RNAcentral lists this ribosomal RNA (443 nucleotides) under uncultured bacterium. RNAcentral describes it as "partial 16S ribosomal RNA". It matches the Rfam family "Bacterial small subunit ribosomal RNA", at positions 338 to 795 of the family's 1533-position model. The record is from RNAcentral.
CCUACGGGUGGCAGCAGUGGGGAAUAUUGGGCAAUGGGCGCAAGCCUGACCCAGCAACGCCGCGUGAAGGAAGAAGGCUUUCGGGUUGUAAACUUCUUUUCUCAGGGACGAAGCAAGUGACGGUACCUGAGGAAUAAGCCACGGCUAACUACGUGCCAGCAGCCGCGGUAAUACGUAGGUCGCAAGCGUUAUCCGGAUUUACUGGGGGUAAAGGGCGUGUAGGCGGGGACGCAAGUCAGAUGUGAAAACAACGGGCUCAACCUGUGGACUGCAUUUGAAACUGUGUUUCUUGAGGGCUGGAGAGGCAGACGGAAUUCCUAGUGUAGCGGUGAAAUGCGUAGAUAUUAGGAGGAACACCAGUGGCGAAGGCGGUUUGCUGGACAGCAACUGACGCUGAGGCGCGAAAGCGUGGGGAGCAAACAGGAUUAGAUACCCGUGUAGUC